This is an RNA transcript of Parus major (Great Tit), 1534 nucleotides long. It is a transcript of the gene named atherin-like, with no coding region annotated. Lineage: Eukaryota; Metazoa; Chordata; Aves; Passeriformes; Paridae. The record is from RefSeq and is a predicted model, not a curated record. The transcript is spliced from 2 exons.
AAAGCUCGGGGCCGUCCGGCGUGCCGGCAGAGCGGGGCAUGCGCCCGCAGCAGCCCGGCAGAAUCCCCGAGCAGGGCCCGUCUAUCAGCACCGCCAGCCUGCCCGUGACUCAGCAUCCUCCGCCCCGCUCCCGCUUCCUCCCGGCACCCGGGAAUCGCCGCCGGCACGCUCAGAGGAUGCUCCCGCAAAAUGCGGAGGGAAGAGAGGCGCUCAUGCGAACGGCUCCUCAGGCAGGUGGGAGAUUCCCAGGGCAGGGAAUUUGCCUUCCAAGAUUUCGGGCUCGCUUCGCACCAGCUUCGGGAGGGGGAAAAAGCCGGGCUUCGUCUGCGCCACGCGGUGGGAAGGAGCCGAAGGCCGUCUCCAGUAGCAACGUGCUUUUCCAGCCCGACGGUGGGAAAAGCUCCCCAGCGCUUCCUCCUCCCAGCGCUGGCACAACGCCGGCCUCUCUGCUUCUGCCUGGCGCACUUCCCACAUGCAAAGAGCUAUCCCGGAUGAAUCCAUGCCGGAAUUAACCACAGCAGCCUCCCGCUCCUCUGCUCAGCCCCAGGUUUCAGUAGCGACAUCCACAGGGAUGCGAGUUCUCGAUGCUUCUCCCUGCUCCAGCCCGCUGUGCUCGCAAAGCUGGAAUCCGGCAGCUGGUGACUUUAAGGCAGAAUUUACAUUUUAUUCCUCCUAUGUUCCCGUGAGGAGCUCCUGGCCAUCCCGCAGGUCGGUUGAAGUACUUCUGAUUGCUUUAAUUUGCUCUGAACGGAGAAUCCAGCCCAUCCUUGGACACACCACGAUUAGUUGGGAUGGGGGACUUCCAUCCCUGCCAGCUGCUGGAAGAGCUCCAGAGGAGCCGGCAGCACCAAGCAGUGCCAGGGCAGUGCUGGGAGCCAGCGCCUCAAUCCUGCCACCCGCUCCCGGAGGAUGAGCGUUCAGAGCCAGCUGGCCUUGCCACGGAGGAGCUGCCGGAUCCAACUCGCCACCUUCCCACCACGGAACAGCUAUCCAGGGGCUGUGGCCACACGGGAAGGUCACCCUGCACCACAAAUGCAGCCUCGAGGGGAGGUGUGAGGGAGCAGAGCCCGCGUGGCCGUGCCCCUGUGCCCAGCCCUGCUCACGCUCUCCGUGUGUGCAGCACCAGCACCUGAAAAUGAAACCGGCCCCACUCGCCGCAGUUCCACGCCAGUGACGUGCAUAGGAAAUGUGAUUGAUGCGCCGGCUCUCCCAGAAAUAACUGUUCCCAACCGGAGGAGAAGCGUCUGGAGGCAUUUGCAGCUCCCUUUGUAAGCACAGGACUAUUCAAAACUCAUCCCAAGGACUAUUUUCAGGAGAGGGCGAAGCGAGGGGCUGGGAGACGCCCUGGCCGGCCCCACAGCUCCCCGCUUCCUGAGUGGCAGAAAUACAAAGUUCCCACAAUCCCAAGAGCGGGAACAUUGUUCCUUCCCAGGAUGUCCUCCAUGAAAAGAGCUAUUCUGAGCCGGCUGCAGCCUUUCUUGGCAUGGCCCCGCAGCCGCUCCGAGGCAGCUAUAAAAGGCCAGGUUACAAUGAA